UGAGUAAUCUGCCCUCCACUUUGGGAUAGCCACCGGAAACGGUGAUUAAUACCGGAUAUGACCUUGGCCCGCAUGGGUUGUGGUGGAAAGUUUUUCGGUGGGGGAUGUGCUCGCGGCCUAUCAGCUUGAUGGUGGGUAAUGGCCUACCAUGGCUUCGACGGGUAGCCGGCCUGAGAGGGCGACCGGCCACACUGGGACUGAGACACGGCCCAGACUCCGUACGGGAG
This 227-nucleotide ribosomal RNA is filed under the name uncultured bacterium. RNAcentral's name for it is "partial 16S ribosomal RNA". It matches the Rfam family "Bacterial small subunit ribosomal RNA", at positions 118 to 347 of the family's 1533-position model. The record is from RNAcentral.